UUGGAGGGCAAGUCUGGUGCCAGCAGCCGCGGUAAUUCCAGCUCCAAUAGCGUAUAUUAAAGUUGUUGCAGUUAAAAAGCUCGUAGUUGAAUUUCGGGGUUUAUACGUUGGUCGGGCUUUUGGGUCUGUACUGGCGUAAUGAAUUCCUACCUUCUGAAUAACCAGCAUGUCAUUAAUUUGAUGCGCCGGGGAAGCAGGACUGUUACCUUGAAAAAAUUAGAGUGUUUAAAGCAGGCUUUAGCUUGAAUACAUUAGCAUGGAAUAAUGAAAUAGGACGUUUGAUCCUAUUUUGUUGGUUUCUAGGAUUGACGUAAUGAUUAAUAGGGAUAGUUGGGGGCAUUAGUAUUCAAUUGUCAGAGGUGAAAUUCUUGGAUUUAUUGAAGACUAACUACUGCGAAAGCAUUUGCCAAGGAUGUUUUCAUUAAUCAAGAACGAAAGUUAGGGGAUCGAAGACGAUCAGAUACCGUCGUAGUCUUAACCAUAAACUAUGCCGACUAGGGAUCGGAUGAUGUUAAUUUUUUAAUGACUCAUUCGGCGCCUUACGGGAAAC
RNAcentral lists this ribosomal RNA (550 nucleotides) under uncultured Acaulospora. Its description in RNAcentral is "SSU rRNA". It matches the Rfam family "Eukaryotic small subunit ribosomal RNA", at positions 548 to 1098 of the family's 1831-position model. The record is from RNAcentral. Lineage: Eukaryota; Fungi; Glomeromycota; Glomeromycetes; Diversisporales; Acaulosporaceae.